Molecule: transfer RNA, 75 nt
Filed under: Anaerolineae bacterium
Lineage: Bacteria; Bacillati; Chloroflexota; Anaerolineae
Description: tRNA-Gln
Rfam family: tRNA
About the family: Transfer RNA (tRNA) molecules are approximately 80 nucleotides in length. Their secondary structure includes four short double-helical elements and three loops (D, anti-codon, and T loops). Further hydrogen bonds mediate the characteristic L-shaped molecular structure. tRNAs have two regions of fundamental functional importance: the anti-codon, which is responsible for specific mRNA codon recognition, and the 3' end, to which the tRNAs corresponding amino acid is attached (by aminoacyl-tRNA synthetases). tRNAs cope with the degeneracy of the genetic code in two manners: having more than one tRNA (with a specific anti-codon) for a particular amino acid; and 'wobble' base-pairing, i.e. permitting non-standard base-pairing at the 3rd anti-codon position.
Source: RNAcentral
UGGGGCGUCGCCAAGCGGAAAGGCAGCGGCCGUUGGAGCCGCUAUUCGAAGGUUCGAAUCCUUCCGCCCCAGCCA